This 252-nucleotide ribosomal RNA is filed under the name uncultured bacterium. RNAcentral's name for it is "partial 16S ribosomal RNA". It matches the Rfam family "Bacterial small subunit ribosomal RNA", at positions 524 to 776 of the family's 1533-position model. The record is from RNAcentral.
UACGGAGGAUGCGAGCGUUAUCCGGAUUUAUUGGGUUUAAAGGGUGCGUAGGCGGACUGUCAAGUCAGCGGUAAAAUUGAGAGGCUCAACCUCUUCCCGCCGUUGAAACUGGUGGUCUUGAGUGGAUGAGAAGUACGCGGAAUGCGUGGUGUAGCGGUGAAAUGCAUAGAUAUCACGCAGAACUCCGAUUGCGAAGGCAGCGUACCGGCAUCCAACUAACGCUGAGGCACGAAAGCGUGGGGAUCAAACAGG